This 870-nucleotide long non-coding RNA is filed under the name Homo sapiens (human). Its description in RNAcentral is "non-protein coding lnc-CDCA7-1:6". The record is from RNAcentral. Lineage: Eukaryota; Metazoa; Chordata; Mammalia; Primates; Hominidae.
CAUCUUGGCUCCUCCGCUCUAUUUGCAGUUCUUAAAGGGCCCCAGGAUCCUCUAUUAAAUGUGUGGUCCAUGAACCAGCAGCUUCAGCAUGACCUGAGAGCUCAUAACCUCGUCUCUACAAAAAAUACAAAAAAAGUUAGCCAGGCAUGGUGGUACACGCCUAUGGUCUCAGCAACUUGGGAGGCUGAGAUUCAUAGCAAGUGAAACAUUCCAGAUGUUAAAAGCGUGGACAGUGAGGUCCAUGGACCGGCAGGAUCAGCAGCCCCAGAAGCUCCUUGGACCUGCAAGACCCUCCGGCCCCACCACAGCCCUACUGAACCAGGAUCAGACUUUAAAAAAGAAUCCAAUGCCAGUUUGAGAAGCCCAACUCAAAAAUCUAGACCAACAACCUGGUCUACCUUCCUGGGUCUCACUCCAUCACCUACGCUGGAAUGCAGUGGUGCAGUCACAGCUCACUGCAGCCUCAAUCUCCAGGGCUCAAGUGAUCCUCCAACCUGAGCCUCCUGAGUAUCUGGGACUACAGGUGCGUGCCACCAUAGUUGGCCAAAUUUUUUUAUUUUUUUGUAGAGACAGUGUCUUGCUAUGUUGCCCAGGCUGGUCUUGAACUCCUGGGCUCAAGUGAUCCACCCAUCUCUCUCUCCCAAAGUGCUGGGAUUACAGGUGUGAACCACUGCACCCAGCCUAGCCUUGGCUUUUCACAGGGAGUGGCAACUCCUCCUCCCAGAGCAGAGCUACUCCAAAGAUUUCUGCUGCUUCCAAUGUAGAUUUUCAAUGAUUUCAGAUCUACAUAAGAACGUAGUUACUGUUUAGGAGAAGCCAGCUUUCAUGGAGGAAACUGUAUUUGUGAUCCUGAUGAUUUUCCUUGAACAG